Molecule: ribosomal RNA, 301 nt
Filed under: uncultured bacterium
Lineage: Bacteria
Description: partial 16S ribosomal RNA
Rfam family: Bacterial small subunit ribosomal RNA
Source: RNAcentral
CAGCAGCCGCGGUAAUACGUAGGGUGCGAGCGUUAAUCGGAAUUACUGGGUGUAAAGCGUGCGCAGGCGGUUUUGUAAGACAGGCGUGAAAUCCCCGGGCUCAACCUGGGAAUGGCGCUUGUGACUGCAAAGCUAGAGUGCGGCAGAGGGGGAUGGAAUUCCGCGUGUAGCAGUGAAAUGCGUAGAUAUGCGGAGGAACACCGAUGGCGAAGGCAAUCCCCUGGGCCUGCACUGACGCUCAUGCACGAAAGCGUGGGGAGCAAACAGGAUUAGAUACCCCCGUAGUCCCUGUCUCUUAUAC